RNAcentral lists this ribosomal RNA (407 nucleotides) under uncultured bacterium. RNAcentral's name for it is "partial 16S ribosomal RNA". It matches the Rfam family "Bacterial small subunit ribosomal RNA", at positions 28 to 526 of the family's 1533-position model. The record is from RNAcentral.
GACGAACGCUGGCGGCGUGCCUAAUACAUGCAAGUAGAACGCAUUUGCGAACGGGUGAGUAACGCGUAUGUACCUGCCUGUUAGCGAGGGAUACAUAUUGGGAACGCUAGCUCAUACAGCGUAAUACCAGUUGGACCUUCGUUGUAUUAGCUAGUUGGUGGGGUAACGGCUCACCAAGGCAACGAUACAUAGCCGACCUGAGAGGGUGAUCGGCCACACUGGGACUGGGACACGGCCCAGACUCCUACGGGAGGCAGCCGUAGGGAAUCUUCGGCAAUGGACGGAAGUCUGACCGAGCAACGCCGCGUGAGUGAAGAAGGUUUUCGGAUCGGAAAUCUCUGUUGUAAGAGAAGCGGUAUCUUACCAGAAAGGGACGGCUAACUACGUGCCAGCAGCCGCGGUAAUAC